CUAUGGAAGCUUAAAUUAUCUCUUGGGGUUAUCAUCUUCCUUUGGUUCUUAAACCGGGGAGUAGUCUUGACUAGAGACAACCUUGCUCAUCGAAAUUGGAAGGGGAGUAUGUGUUGUGUCUUUUACUAGCAUGAUGUGUCAAUUAAACACCUAUUUCUUGAGUGUGAGUGUGUGUGUGUGGAUAAUAUAUCCAGCAUUAGCUAUUUGUCGGUUGCAUUGAGCAAUAAAUAUUUUUAA
This 237-nucleotide ribosomal RNA is filed under the name Triticum aestivum (bread wheat). RNAcentral describes it as "partial small subunit ribosomal RNA". Lineage: Eukaryota; Viridiplantae; Streptophyta; Magnoliopsida; Poales; Poaceae. The record is from RNAcentral.